UUGUUAUCUUCAUGUUUUCAGGCCUCCCCCAUCCCAUAACCUAGGGGGAAUCUCCAUGGCCCUGAUUUGUGUGUGUAGACACUGCUGUUUCCAUUCCUCUUGCCCUUGACCUCUGCCUCUUCACACCUCCUCCCACUCACCCAGCGAGCACACAGCCCACCCAGAAGCUCUUGCGCCAGCAGUUACCUGGCAACAGCGACAAUCACGCUAACAGGCAACAAUGCAGCAGCAGAGACCAGAGAGCUCUGACUCUACCAGAGUCUAAGCAGGAAAGGGAAGGGGGAGAAAUGGCUCUUUUUAUCAACGGCUUUUCGUCCCCACCCACACUGUUUUCCUGUAUCACACAUUCCAUGUUCCAGUGCCCAACUGCCAAUUUCUAUCAUCACCUGGGUGAAACUAGCCUCUAAUCGAGAGUUUAAUGACAGCCACAGAGAUUCAUGUGGAAUUGUGUACUUGGGGAGACCCAACAAUCAUCCCCCUUAAUUCCAAUGUAGAAUGCUCAGGAGUUAAUCAAUCCUGGUUUCCAUCUGUGCACAUGUUGUGUUGCAGUCCAAGGAUGUACUUGACCACCCAACUGGCCUGCUGUAGUAGAGUACCAAGUGCUGUGUACUCAGAAACAUGGACAAGCUAUUAUCUUACUUCUUGCUUCCCUGAUCACAAUUCUACACAGAAUCCUGGAAAACUGCGUAAACACCCACAGGCCUUGGAGGAUGUUAGUGUCAAUUUACUGGGAAGAUGACCCCUGAAGACCCUGUAAUCCCCAUCAUUCUGUGAUUCAAAGGGAAAAGCAAUAUGGCCAUGUGAGUCAGUACAAACAGCAUGGGAUUUGGAAUGAGAAGACCUGAACUUCAGUCUUGACUUGACUGUCCACUCACUUUGUGACCUCAAAGAAGUCGAAUGAACAUGUAUUGAGCCUAUGUCUUGCAGCAAGUACUGACUUAGGAUUUAAGGAAAUAAGAUGACCAGACUUGGGACAUGUCCUGAAGUGGGUCAUUGACUCAUGGAGCACAGAGAAUUAUAAACAAUUUCCUCACUUUUUCCUUAUAUAUAGACUGAGCAAACUAACAGCAACUUCUUAGGGUUGUGAGCAUCAAACAAGAUAGAGGUUGUGAAAAGGACUCAGAGACUGUAUAAUAUGUCACACAAAGUUAGUGGUAAUUAUUAAUGCUAAGACUGAACUCAUAAUAACUCAUAGAUAUUAUCAUGGUCAUCACCUACAUGAUAUGAUCCCUACCAACCUCUCCAGUGUCAUUUCCCACUAGCUCUCUGUCCUUCUUGGUUGAACAGACCAAAAUAUUCCUGUCUCAGGGUCUUUGCAUUGCCUGAAAUGUAUUUACCCCAGUUAUCUGCACAGUUAAUUCUUUCAUUUUAUUCACACUUUUACUCAAAAGUUAUAUUCCCCAUGGAGAGCCUCUCUGCUCAGCAUAUCUAAAAUAGAAACAUGUGUAUACACACACAAUGCACACACAUACACAUGCAUACAUACAUGCACACAACAUACAUGCAUAUAGACAUGCUACAUACAUAUACCCACAUAUGUAUACAUACAUAUACACACAAGACACAUGUGCACGUAUGUAUGCACACACUCUCUAGUUCCUUAUCCUGCUUUGUAUUUCUUCAGAGUACUACCUCUUCCUGAAACUAUGUUUUUAUAUGCUUGUUCACAUGUAUGUUAUCUGACUCCCCACUGUAAGCUCUGUGAGGGCAGAGACUUUGGCUUGUUCAACAUUAUAUUUCCAGUCCCAGAACAGCUCCUGACUCAUAAUGUAUACUCAAUAAUUAUUGAGAUAUAAUUCAUAUACCACACAAUUCACCUAUUUAAAGUGUAAAAUCCAAUGUUGGUUGUUUGUUUUUUGAGACAGGGUCUUCCUCUCUCAUCCAGGCUGACAUCACUGCAGUCACUGCAGCUUUAACUUACUGGGCUAGAGAGUAGCUGGGACAGCAGGUGCACGUCACCACACCUGGCUAGUUAAAAAAAAAAAAAUUGUGGAGAUGGGGUCCCACUAUGUUGCCCAGGCUGGUCUUGAACUCCUGGGCUCAAGCAAUCCUCCCAGUGCCUCCACCUCCCAAAGUGUUGGGAUUACAGGUGCAAGCCACCAUACCCAGCCCAAUUCAUUGUUUUUUGACACAAAGUCAUGUGCCACAUAAUAAAGUUUCAGCCAACAUUAGACUGCAUAUAAGACGGUGGUCCCGUAAGUUUAUAAUGGAGCAGAAAAAUCCCUAUUGCCUAGGGACAUAGCCAUUGUAACGUUGUAGUAACGUAUUACCUUUUCUAUGUUUAGAUGUGUGUAGAGACAAAAAUACCACUGUGUUAUAAUUGCCUUCAUUAUUCAGUAUAGUAACGUGCUAUGCAGGUUUGUUGCCUAGGUAUGUAGUUGGCUACACUAAAUUUGGAUAAGUACACAACUUUUUGUUGUUUCACACAAGAACAAAAUCACCUACUGAUGCAUUUCUCAGAAUAUACUGCUGUCAUUAAACUAUGCAUGUCUGUAUUUACAGAGUUGUCCAAACAUCAUCACAAUUUUAGAACAUUUUCAUCACCCCAGAAAGAAACCCAUACCUGUCAGUGCCACUCUCUAUUUCCCCUUAAGCCACCCUACCACCCCCGACCCUUGGCUUAGGCAAUUAUGAGUCCACUUUCUGUCUCUAUAGAUUUGUCUAUUCUGGACACUUCAUAUACAUGAAAUUACACAAUAUAUGGUCUUUUUGAAAUUAAAUUUUGAUGAAUGAACAAAUUACUAAAUCCAGUUCUUUGCCACACCCUCUAGAUAUAAAUAGUUCUUCAGAAAGUUUCCUUUCAUGAGUUUUGAGCAAUCUAACAUUCAAUCUGCAAGACAGAGAAUUGGUCUGACCAAAUUACAACAAAAAUCUCACUUAUUUAUGGUGUGCUUUUGUUUAUUUUUUAAUUGUGACAUUUUGACAGACAUUGAACAUCAGCUUUCCUUUGCCCUAGAAACAGAAAAAAAAAGAAAGAAUUGACAGAAUAAACACAUAAAAUGAAAUUCUGAAGGGGCUAUUUAUUUACUUAUAAGAACCAACUGUUUUCAAACAUUCUGCAUUGGAAAUGAUUUAAUUCUAAUCUAAGCAAAGGCCAGCAAGCCUGGUACUCUAAUAUGUUGAUUACAAAUCAUUCUCUAUUCUUUAAAGCAGAACCUUGAUUGGGCAACUUUGGUAGAUGUAAUUCCACGCAUCCAAGGACUUGAAAGUAAUAAAAUGGCCUUUUAUUAUUUACAAUAAUUUCAUAAUUGACUUCACCAACGAGACUGACUCUCCCUUUCAAUUAUUUUAAAUCAGUGAGAUUCUACCACAUAAAUACCCUCUUCUCCAACAAUCAUUGUUAAACCAUUUGUCAUAUUUGAUUCACAUAAAGGCAAAUGAUAUUAAGUGUAUAAGUUAAACCACGAACUAAGUUCUUAGAAUUGGAAUGGAACUUUAGGGCAUUGAGCAUGAUCUUUUACCCAAAGCUGAAAUCCCUGCCAUAGCUUCCCUAGCUUGAAAUAUCCCAGUGACAGGAAGAACAUCAUUACUUGAGACAGCCUCCACCAUCAUUCUCAACUUUAAUGUUCAAAUAUUCAUCCUUCUAAUAAACUCCUCAAGUAUCCUAAAGAUUUUUUCCACAUGUACAUCACUUUCUCCCUAUCCUGACCUUCUUUUAGUCCAACUUCUGCCCUCUUGGGUAAAGAAGAGGAUACAGGAUACCUGUUUAUUCCUGUUCGGGGCAAGUGAGUCCCUCAAAUAUCUGAAGACCCCUUGCUUGCCUAGAAAUUCUUCCCUGGGCUAAACAGCCCCAGGCCAUCUUACAACUUGGUUUUCAGACUCCAUCUCCAAAAUACUGCCACCCCAGGUACCACCUUUCUGAUCAUCCACCAAUCCACUGCUAUCCUUUAGUACAAAUCUGCAAAAUGGGC
This is a long non-coding RNA of Macaca mulatta (Rhesus monkey), 3911 nucleotides long. The record is from Ensembl. Lineage: Eukaryota; Metazoa; Chordata; Mammalia; Primates; Cercopithecidae.